Molecule: ribosomal RNA, 497 nt
Filed under: uncultured bacterium
Lineage: Bacteria
Description: partial 16S ribosomal RNA
Rfam family: Bacterial small subunit ribosomal RNA
Source: RNAcentral
GAUGAACGCUGGCGGCGUGCCUAAUACAUGCAAGUCGAGCGAACGGACGAGAAGCUUGCUUCUCUGAUGUUAGCGGCGGACGGGUGAGUAACACGUGGAUAACCUACCUAUAAGACUGGGAAAACUUCGGGAAACCGGAGCUAAUACCGGAAAAUAUUUUGAACCGCAUGGUUCAAAAGUGAAAGACGGCUUUGCUGCUACUUAUAGAUGGAUCCGCGCUGCAUUAGCUAGUUGGUAAGGUAACGGCUUACCAAGGCAACGAUGCAUAGCCGACCUGAGAGGGUGAUCGGCCACACUGGAACUGAGACACGGUCCAGACUCCUACGGGAGGCAGCAGUAGGGAAUCUUCCGCAAUGGGCGAAAGCCUGACGGAGCAACGCCGCGUGAGUGAUGAAGGUCUUCGGAUCGUAAAACUCUGUUAUUAGGGAAGAACAUAUGUGUAAGUAACUGUGCACAUCUUGACGGUACCUAAUCAGAAAGCCACGGCUAACUACGUG